AGACAGGUCGGCUGCUAUCUAUUGGGGGUGUAAUGGUACUUGACGUGAACGAACGUAUAGUACGAGAGGAACUACGUUUGGUCGCCACUGGUGUAUCGGUUGUUCGAGAGAGCAAAUGCCGGGUAGCCACGCGACACGGGGUAAGAGCUGAACGCAUCUAAGCUCGAAACCCACAUGGAAAAGAAGUACCGACGAGGUCACUCGUAGAAGACGAGUUAGAUAGACUCGGGAUGUACGCGCCGAGGCAACGAGGCGUUGUAGUCCACGAGCACUAACAGACCGAAGCCACAGUCAU
This 295-nucleotide ribosomal RNA is filed under the name Halorubrum alkaliphilum. RNAcentral's name for it is "Archaeal large subunit ribosomal RNA". It matches the Rfam family "Archaeal large subunit ribosomal RNA", at positions 2693 to 2987 of the family's 2987-position model. The record is from Rfam by way of RNAcentral. Lineage: Archaea; Methanobacteriati; Methanobacteriota; Halobacteria; Halobacteriales; Haloferacaceae.